Carya illinoinensis is the source of this 109-nucleotide small nucleolar RNA. The record is from RefSeq and is a predicted model, not a curated record. NCBI's taxonomy places the organism in Eukaryota, Viridiplantae, Streptophyta, Magnoliopsida, Fagales, Juglandaceae.
AAACCAUGGUGGGGACAUCUCAAAAUUAGGUCCUUAAAUCUCUCCAAACUCUCAUAAAAUCUUUCAUUGUCUUCUUAAUAAAAAUUAGCAAUCUCUCUCCUCAAAGUAU